This 1022-nucleotide ribosomal RNA is filed under the name marine metagenome. Its description in RNAcentral is "bacterial SSU rRNA". It matches the Rfam family "Bacterial small subunit ribosomal RNA", at positions 226 to 1266 of the family's 1533-position model. The record is from RNAcentral.
UGAGCCCGCACUUGAUUAGUUUGUUGGUGGGGUAAUGGCCUACCAAGACUUUGAUCAAUAGCUGAUCUGAGAGGAUGAUCAGCCACAUUGGGACUGAGACACGGCCCAAACUCCUACGGGAGGCAGCAGUAGGGAAUAUUGCACAAUGGAGGAAACUCUGAUGCAGCGAUGCCGCGUGAGUGAAGAAGGCCUUUGGGUUGUAAAGCUCUUUCGUCGGGGAAGAAAAUGACGGUACCCGAAUAAGAAGGUCCGGCUAACUUCGUGCCAGCAGCCGCGGUAAUACGAAGGGACCUAGCGUAGUUCGGAAUUACUGGGCUUAAAGAGUUCGUAGGUGGUUAAAAAAGUUGGUUGUGAAAUCCCGAAGCUUAACUUCGGAACUGCAAUCAAAACUUUUUAGCUAGAGUAUGAUAGAGGAAAGCAGAAUUUCUAGUGUAGAGGUGAAAUUCGUAGAUAUUAGAAAGAAUACCAAUUGCGAAGGCAGCUUUCUGGAUCAUUACUGACGCUGAGGAACGAAAGCAUGGGUAGCGAAGAGGAUUAGAUACCCUCGUAGUCCAUGCCGUAAACGAUGUGUGUUAGACGUUGGAAAUUUAUUUUCAGUGUCGCAGCGAAAGCAGUAAACACACCGCCUGGGGAGUACGACCGCAAGGUUAAAACUCAAAUGAAUUGACGGGGACCCGCACAAGUAGUGGAGCAUGUGGUUUAAUUCGAAGAUACGCGCAGAACCUUACCAACACUUGACAUGUUCGUCGCGGCUCUAAGAGAUUAGAGCUUUCGGUUCGGCCGGACGAAACACAGGUGCUGCAUGGCUGUCGUCAGCUCGUGUCGUGAGAUGUUGGGUUAAGUCCCGCAACGAGCGCAACCCUCACUUUUAGUUGCCAUCAUUUAGUUGGGCACUCUGAAAGAACUGCCAGUGAUAAGCUGGAGGAAGGUGGGGAUGACGUCAAGUCCUCAUGGCCCUUACGUGUUGGGCUACACACGUGCUACAAUGGCAUUUACAAUAGGAAGCAAGAUGGCGACGUCAA